This 386-nucleotide ribosomal RNA is filed under the name uncultured microorganism. RNAcentral's name for it is "bacterial SSU rRNA". It matches the Rfam family "Archaeal small subunit ribosomal RNA", at positions 330 to 720 of the family's 1478-position model. The record is from RNAcentral.
GUGCACCAGUCGAGAAACCUCCGCAAUGCGGGAAACCGCGACGGGGACCCGAGUGCCGUGGCAAUGCUACGGCUUUUCCGGUAGUGUAAAAGCUCCGGGAAUAAGGGCUGGGCAAGGCCGGUGGCAGCCGCCGCGGUAAUACCGGCGGCCCGAGUGGUGGCCGCCUAUUAUUGGGCCUAAAGCGUCCGUAGCCGGGCCCGUAAGUCCCUGGCGAAAUCCCACGGCUCAACCGUGGGGCUUGCUGGGGAUACUGCGGGUCUUGGGACCGGGAGAGGCGAGGGGUACCCCUGGGGUAGGGGUGAAAUCCUAUAAUCCCAGGGGACCGCCAGUGGCGAAGGCGCCCCGCUGGAACGGGUCCGACGGUGAGGGACGAAGGCCAGGGGAGC